AGGGUUUGAUCAUGGCUCAGAACGUACGCUGGCGGCACGCCUAACACAUGCAAGUCGAACGAAGUAGCAAUACUUAGUGGCAGACGGGUGAGUAACAUGUGGGUAUCUGCCCUUUGGCCUGGAAUAACACGAGGAAACUUGUGCUAAUACCGGAUAAGUCUUUACGGAGAAAGCUUUAUGCACCAUUGGAUGAGCCCGCACUUGAUUAGUUUGUUGGUGGGGUAAUGGCCUACCAAGACUGUGAUCAAUAGCUGAUUUGAGAGGAUGAUCAGCCACAUUGGGACUGAGACACGGCCCAAACUCCUACGGGAGGCAGCAGUGGGGAAUCUUGCACAAUGGAGGAAACUCUGAUGCAGCGAUGCCGCGUGAGUGAAGAAGGCCCUUGGGUUGUAAAGCUCUUUCGUCGGGGAAGAAAAUGACUGUACCCGAAUAAGAAGGUCCGGCUAACUUCGUGCCAGCAGCCGCGGUAAUACGAAGGGACCUAGCGUAGUUCGGAAUUACUGGGCUUAAAGAGUUCGUAGGUGGUUGAAAAAGUUAGUGGUGAAAUCCCAGAGCUUAACUCUGGAACUGCCAUUAAAACUUUUCAGCUAGAGUAUGAUAGAGGAAAGCAGAAUUUCUAGUGUAGAGGUGAAAUUCGUAGAUAUUAGAAAGAAUACCAAUUGCGAAGGCAGCUUUCUGGAUCAUUACUGACACUGAGGAACGAAAGCAUGGGUAGCGAAGAGGAUUAGAUACCCUCGUAGUCCAUGCCGUAAACGAUGUGUGUUAGACGUUGGAAAUUUAUUUUCAGUGUCGCAGCGAAAGCGAUAAACACACCGCCUGGGGAGUACGACCGCAAGGUUAAAACUCAAAUGAAUUGACGGGGACCCGCACAAGUAGUGGAGCAUGUGGUUUAAUUCGAAGAUACGCGCAGAACCUUACCAACACUUGACAUGUUCGUCGCGACUCUAAGAGAUUAGAGUCUUCGGUUCGGCCGGACGAAACACAGGUGCUGCAUGGCUGUCGUCAGCUCGUGUCGUGAGAUGUUGGGUUAAGUCCCGCAACGAGCGCAACCCUCACUUUUAGUUGCCAUCAUUAAGUUGGGCACUCUGAAAGAACUGCCAGUGAUAAGCUGGAGGAAGGUGGGGAUGACGUCAAGUCCUCAUGGCCCUUACGUGUUGGGCUACACACGUGCUACAAUGGUAUCUACAACAGGAAGCAAGACUGCGAGGUCAAGCAAAUCCUUAAAAGAUACCUCAGUUCGGAUUGCACUCUGCAACUCGAGUGCAUGAAGCUGGAAUUACUAGUAAUCGUGGAUCAGCGUGCCACGGUGAAUGCGUUCCCGGGUCUUGUACACACCGCCCGUCACACCAUGGGAGUUGGUUCUACCUUAAGGCAAGGUUUCAAACCCUUGACCACGGUAUAGUCAGCGACUGGGGUGAAGUCAUAACAAGGUAGCCGUA
This 1439-nucleotide ribosomal RNA is filed under the name uncultured bacterium. RNAcentral describes it as "bacterial SSU rRNA". It matches the Rfam family "Bacterial small subunit ribosomal RNA". The record is from RNAcentral.